RNAcentral lists this ribosomal RNA (434 nucleotides) under uncultured Gemmata sp. RNAcentral's name for it is "bacterial SSU rRNA". It matches the Rfam family "Bacterial small subunit ribosomal RNA", at positions 342 to 791 of the family's 1533-position model. Lineage: Bacteria; Pseudomonadati; Planctomycetota; Planctomycetia; Gemmatales; Gemmataceae. The record is from RNAcentral.
CGGGGGGCAGCAGUCGAGGAUCUUCGUCAAUGGGCGAAAGCCUGAACGAGCGAUGCCGCGUGUGCGAUGAAGGCCUUCGGGUUGUAAAGCACAAAAGAGAUGAGAAAGGGCAACUUGAUCGAAUCUCAGUAAGCUCGGGCUAAGUUCGUGCCAGCAGCCGCGGUAAGACGAACCGAGCGAACGUUGUUCGGAAUCACUGGGCUUAAAGGGCGCGUAGGCGGGCGGCUAAGUCUGUGGUGAAAUCCUCCAGCUCAACUGGAGAACUGCCAUGGAUACUGGUUGUCUCGAGGAAGGUAGGGGUACGUGGAACUAUCGGUGGAGCGGUGAAAUGCGUUGAUAUCGAUAGGAACUCCGGUGGCGAAGGCGACGUACUGGACCUUUUCUGACGCUGAGGCGCGAAAGCCAGGGGAGCAAACGGGAUUAGAUACCCCAGU